Molecule: ribosomal RNA, 300 nt
Filed under: uncultured Sulfophobococcus sp.
Lineage: Archaea; Thermoproteati; Thermoproteota; Thermoprotei; Desulfurococcales; Desulfurococcaceae
Description: bacterial SSU rRNA
Rfam family: Bacterial small subunit ribosomal RNA (bases 57-300)
Source: RNAcentral
CGGCGAAUCGUGUUGCGGGCGGCGGGGGAAUAGGGAGGGUGCGAUGUGUAAUCGGGAUUACUGGGGGUAAAGCGUGCGUAGGGUGGUUCUUAAGGCCGGUGGGAAAGCCCUGGGCUCAACCGGGGAACUGCGAUGGAUACUGGGGAGCUCGAGUGCGGUAGAGGAGGGUGGAAUUCCCGGUGUAGCGGUGAAAUGCGUAGAGAUCGGGAGGAACAUCAGUGGCGAAGGCGGCCCUCUGGACCAGCACUGACGCUGAGGCACGAAAGCGUGGGGAGCAAACAGGAUUAAACCCGGGUAGUC